AUCAAUGAUUCUAACACUUAAAUUUCUCAAAGGCCUGCAUUGAAUUGAAUUGUUGGAGCAACUUAUUCGGUUUGUUCCUGAAAUUUUACAAUCAUCAAAUUGAAAUUCGAUUGAUGAUUAUGUUCGAGAUCAAUUCGACGGUUCCAUUGUUCAUCAGCAUUCAAUUCAAGAAUAGUUUGGCCAUGUUCAACACAUGAUAACAGGUUAGGCUAGGGUUAGAUUAGGCUUAGGAACAUGAUCUGAGCUAUUUCCUAUUGAAUUUGAUGCUGAUUGAAUCUUUGGAAUCAAUGAAGCGAUCGAAAACAUGAUUAUAAGUCGAAGAUUCAUGGGAUGGAACACAUACUUGAAAAUGAUCAUGGAUCGCCGGCGAACAAUUUGGAAAUUGAAUUUCGAACCAUGGAUAGAAUUUGGACAUUGUCUUGAAACAUGGACCGCGAUUAUGGAUUUAUUUAUGUCAAACGGG
Non-coding RNA from Dermatophagoides farinae (American house dust mite), 463 nucleotides. The record is from RefSeq and is a predicted model, not a curated record. Lineage: Eukaryota; Metazoa; Arthropoda; Arachnida; Sarcoptiformes; Pyroglyphidae.